GCCGAGCCUGGUAACGCAAGCUUGUGACCCAAGUGGGGGCUUUAAGGUGAUGGGACACGGGUUCGACUCGUUGAGUCCGUUCUGCAGUGGUUUGAUUCAGGCUUGUCCGUUCCAAGCAAGGAGUUGGACCAAGGGGCACGAGCGUAGGCUUGUGCGUCGUGGUUCUUAGAGAGGGGGAUAAAGCGUGAGGCUGGUUUCACAGAGCAGCGAUUACCUUCCGCUCCUUGCAGUGGAAGGAUAACAGGCUUGAUCCAUUCGGAACCACCAUGGCUCAAUGAGCUGACCCAACUGUACCAUCAUUUUU
Molecule: signal recognition particle RNA, 304 nt
Filed under: Gossypium hirsutum (cotton)
Lineage: Eukaryota; Viridiplantae; Streptophyta; Magnoliopsida; Malvales; Malvaceae
Description: Plant signal recognition particle RNA
Rfam family: Plant signal recognition particle RNA
Source: Rfam by way of RNAcentral